AACGAACGCUGGCGGCAGGCCUAACACAUGCAAGUCGAACGCUCCGCAAGGGAGUGGCGCACGGGUGAGUAACACGUGGGAACCUACCUUCUGGUACGGAACAACCAAGGGAAACUUUGGCUAAGACCGUAUACGACCUCCGGGUGAAAGAUUGAUCGCCGGAAGAGGGGCCCGCGUCCGAUUAGGUAGUUGGUGAGGUAACGGCUCACCAAGCCUUCGAUCGGUAGCUGGUCUGAGAGGAUGACCAGCCACACUGGGACUGAGACACGGCCCAGACUCCUACGGGAGGCAGCAGUGGGGAAUAUUGGACAAUGGGCGCAAGCCUGAUCCAGCCAUGCCGCGUGCGGGAAGAA
Molecule: ribosomal RNA, 353 nt
Filed under: uncultured bacterium
Lineage: Bacteria
Description: bacterial SSU rRNA
Rfam family: Bacterial small subunit ribosomal RNA
Source: RNAcentral